AACGAAGUUUGAAAGAACCAGUGCCACGACUACUUUUCAAGAAAAUGAUUAAUUUGCCCGCCAUUGGAAAAGCCUCUUAAAAACCCUAUUGUUCCCAUCCGCUCUUAUCGUCUUAUUACAAUAUUAAGUCUCUUAAAAAAACCCGUUCCCUCUCUCUUCCUCAUUUAAAUUUCCUUCAGUCUUUGUCCAACCAACAAAAUCAAUUCAGUUCAACUCAGCUAGCUCUUCCUCCUCCGUUCGGUUCCCCAGACACAGUAAGAAAAAUCCCUAGAACUUUCUCUGUGUUUCUUGAAACAAAGUUUGAAUCCAACACAAUCCACUCUGGAUUCCUGAUUCUAGGGUUUUCGUUUCAGCAUCGACAUGUCCUGUGAGGACGAAGUUGUUAUGCGCGAUGUCGCCAAUGCGGGGCUUGUUGUCAGCGAUCGCAUUGGCGGUGAAGCUGCUGCUCAGCUCGACGUUGAAGAUGCCCUAGAAGCGUCUAGAUACGCUAGCCACCCCUAUUCUACUCACCCUAGAGAGCUAGUGAAACUGAGUGGUAUGGAAAUGGCACAUUAUGGUGCAGUGUGAUAAUAUUAUUUCAGUGGCUGCCUCUGGUUGAGGUGGUGGAUUCAUUGGACUUGCCUACAGCACUUGUUCAAAGAUAUAAUGCAGCUGGUGGAGAAGGAAAUGCUUUAUGUGGAAUAUUUCCGGAGAUACGGAGAGCAUGGGCAUCGGUUGAUAAUUCCUUGUUCCUUUGGCGUUUUGACAAAUGGGAUGGCCAAUGUCCUGAAUACACUAGAAAGGAACAAGUUAUUUGUGCGGUUGGUCUUGCCAAAUCUAGACCCGAAAUUUUUGUUGAAGCUAUCCAAUACCUUAUUAUUUUAGCAAUGCCAGUCGAGGAUUGUACCCAAUGACACUUCUUUUGGUUCUUUCUUUAGCUUAUGUCUCUUAUCCCUUGGAGGCAUUCUUCCACUAGUAGGUUUUCAGAAGAAUCCCAUUUAUUUGGGUGUGGAUGGUGGACAUGCUUUUAUGUGAAUUCCAAGUUUAAGUUACUAUAAUAUAAUUGACUGGUGCUACCCUCUAAACAUUUUGAAUGUUGAUGCUUAUUGGUGUAUGCCGUUCUGGAGGAGGUGAUGGUACAGAUCCUUAUGCAGAGAUUUCAAUGCAGCCUUUGCCAGAGUAUACAGUACCAUCAGAUGGAGUUACCAUGACUUGUAUAACAUGUACUGAUUAGGGGUGUAUUUUCCCGGCAGGCCGUGAUGGCCACAUCUAUGAGUUGCAUUACACAACUGGCUCAGGUUGGUACAAGCGCUGCCGUAAAGUAUGCCUCACUGUUGGUGUUGGAAAUGUGAUUUCAAGGUUUUUGUUAUGUGGCCAAGCGGAGAAGGUCCACUAAAGAAAGUGGCUGAAGAAAGGAAUAUUUUCAAUCAAUGGGAUACACAUUAUGGAGGUAGACAAUCAACAAGACCAAGAGCCUCGAAUCGAUCAACAAAGGCAUCCAUAGUCUGCAUUUCACCUUUAUCCAUUGUUGAAUCAAAGUGGUUGCACCUUGUUGCCGUCUUAUCAGAUGGAAGAAGGAUGUGUCUUUCCACUUCUCAUUCUAGUGGUAAUGGUGCAAGUGUUGGAGGUUUGAGGGGAUUUAACAGUCACCAGCAUAGACCAAGCUGUUUAAAAGUCAUGACAACUAGGCCUUCUCCUCCUUUGGGGUUGGUGGAGGGCUUGGAUUUGGAGCUAUAUCUCUUGCUGGGAGGAAUCAGAGUGAGGAUCUGUCAUUGAAGGUUGAAGCAGCAUAUUUCUCAGCUGGAACCUUAUCCUUUCUGAUUCAUCACCAUCAACUACGUCUUAUCUUCUUAUGGUAAGCAAGGACUCAAGCUCACAAUCAUCUUUGUCUGGUAGUUUGGGGACAAGUGCUAGGACUUCUCGAGCACUAAGCGAAACAGUGUCUUCGUUUCCUGUUGAAGGUCAAAUGCUAUCUGCGGCUGAUGUUUUACCUUUACCAGAACUUGAAUUUUAUGAACUUGAAAGCUUAGGGGAGUCCUAUGAAAAGGCAUCUGUAAAACUUUGGGCAAGAGGUGACCUUUCAACCCAACAUAUACUGCCAAGGGGGAGAAUUGUUGUUUUUAGCACCAUGGGCAUGAUGGAAGUACUUUUCAACAGGCCCAUCGAUAUUUUGAGGAGGUUGUUUGAAUUGAACGCAUCAAAAUAAAUCAUAGAAGAUCUUUUUAACUGUUUUGUAAUUGGCGAGGCAGCUUCAAUGUGCUUGAUGCUAGCUGCGAGGAUAGUUCAUUAUGAAAAUUUUAUAAGCAAUGCUGUUGUUGAAAAGGCUGCUGAGGCUUUUGAGGACCCAAGACUUGUUGGAAUGCCACAACUUGAAGGUAGUAAUGCAUUGGCAAACACUAGAACAGUAGCAGGGGGAUUCAGCAUAGGGCAGGUUGUUCAGGAAGUUGAGCCUGUAUUUUCUGGCGCACAUGAAGGGCUCUGUCUGUGCUCAUCAAGAUUGCUUUUCCCUAUUUGGGAACUUUCUAUAAUGGUCAUUCAUAUGAUACUAUGCCUCAAAAUGGGGUAGUUGUAUGCAGACUUUCUGUUGGGGCCAUGCAUUUCUUGGAAAACAAGAUUCGUUCAUUGGAGAAGUUCUUGAGGUGUAUAAGAAACCAGAGAAGAUGUCUUCAUGGCUGUAUAGUUGGUUUAGGGAACUUGACUGGCUCUAUUUUGUAUGGAACUGGUUCAAAUUUAGGUGUUGGUGACCAGAGUAUGGUUAGAAACUUAUUUGGUGCUUACCCAAGGAAUGUUGAGUCGAAUGGUGCUGGGACAUCAAAUAAAAGACAACGAUUACCAUAUACUUCCACUGAAUUGGCUGCAAUGGAGGUAAGGGCAAUGGAAUGUAUCAGGUAGUUGCUUCUUAGAUCUACUGAAGCUCUGUUUUUGCUUCAACUUCUUUCUCAGCAUUAUGUGGCUCACUUGGUUCAAGGUUUUAAUGCUAAUUUACAGUAGCAGUUAGUUCAACUGACAUUUUGUCAACUAGUUUGUUCUGAGGAGCGUGACUGCCUUGCCACAAGGCUUAUUUCUACCAUGAUGGAGUGUACAACUUCUUUUUAGAUCUUGCAUGUUCCACUUAAUAAGCUAGUUAGUAUUAUACUGGUCCAGAUGGCAGGGAACAGUUGACGAAAUUAGUGCAAGAUAACGAGAAGGAUGCCUGAGCUAUUUCAAGGAAUCUGAUUACAAGUUCUUUUUAACUGUGGAAUGUCUUGAAAAAGCUGUUAUAACUUCAGACUCUGAAGAGAAGGAAAAUCCUGCUAGAGAGGCCUUCAAUUUCUUAAGUAAAAUCCCAGAAUCUACAGAUUUACGAACUGUUUGCAAAUGCUUUGAAGACUUAAGAUUUUAUGAAGCUGUGGUUUGCUUACCUCUGAAAAGGCACAGGCUCUUGAUUCUGUAGGUGAUGCCUUUAAUGAUCAAGCCAAUGCAGCAACCAAGGAGUUUGCUCUUGCACAAUGUGAACAAUGCUAUGAGAUAAUCACAUGUGCUUCGCCAUCUCUAAAAGGUUCGGGCUGUGUCUAGAUUAACAUUAGCGACUUCCCUAAUGAGUUGAACUAUCCCAUCAAAUAGAGCUAAAUACUUUGAUCUUUUGGCACGAUAUUAUGUCUUGAAACGACAACAUCUACUUGUGGCUCAUGUUUUGCUAAGGCUUGCUGAAAGAAGAUCAACUGAUGCAAAGGAUGCUCCUACUCUUGAUUGGAGGAAGAAGCAAGUAAAAUCUCUUGGGUGUACACUGAUUCUUCAGGAAAUUCUGUCCGCGCAACUGCAACGCAGGGAGAGGAAUAUUUGUGCAGCCUGCUCACUCUUCAGGGCUCGGGUCUACGUGAAGAGGAAAAGAAGAGGAAGAAGGGCGACCUUGAAGGAGCAAAUCUGGAAUUCGACAGAAGGCAUUGAUGAUAAUAACAGAAAGCAGGAUAGUGAAGCGGAAGGCAGCAGUCCAAAAGCUGUGAGUGAUAAUGUUGGUAGCAAUAUUAGUAAACAGCCUAGGUGGACUCCAGGUGGCAGCAUUCCAGUGGCGGAGAGGAUAACAGACACGCAGCAAAAGAUUAGGAGUAUGCUGGAAGAGACAGAGGUUGUGAAUACAGGGGACGCUGAGUUGGCAUUUGGAGAUUGGUUGGGUGUCAGCAAGGAGUCCAGAAAUAAGGAGCUAAGAGAGGAAGCAAGGGGGGAGGGAAAAAGAAGGAAAUAGAGUAAGGGAGAGUCCCAACCUCUCGAAAGCUGGUGGGUGUAGGGUUUGGUUUGUGUUUUGCUUGAGGUAUCUGUUUGGUCUUUACGAUAGGAAGGUUAUUGUCUUAGUUUGAGUAUUACUUGUUGGUUAAAAUUCCAGUAGAGUUGUUUAUUUGUGAUGAUAUGAAUGAUAGAUGUACAAUGUAAUCAAACUCUUCUUUUAACGAAAUGAUUCAGUAAAAGUUCAUUGUUCU
RNA transcript from Mangifera indica (mango), 4433 nucleotides. It is a transcript of the gene named nuclear pore complex protein NUP155-like, with no coding region annotated. The transcript has 12 exons. NCBI's taxonomy places the organism in Eukaryota, Viridiplantae, Streptophyta, Magnoliopsida, Sapindales, Anacardiaceae. The record is from RefSeq and is a predicted model, not a curated record.